Non-coding RNA from Cinara cedri, 201 nucleotides. The record is from the annotation of a GenBank genome assembly. NCBI's taxonomy places the organism in Eukaryota, Metazoa, Arthropoda, Insecta, Hemiptera, Aphididae.
AAUACGCAGUACACGUCAAAAGAAUAGUGAAAUAUGCAUAAUAAAACAUUGUGUUUCAGUUCUGUUGACUACAACUGAAACUGUUGCAACUUAUCUAGUCACUUACUACUACGCGCACGCGCGUGUUAUUUCACCGUAUCGAAUCGAAUCGAAAGUCGAAAGGGACGACGGCUUUUCGUUUGUUCGGCGCGCGGUUCACGG